This 275-nucleotide long non-coding RNA is filed under the name Homo sapiens (human). RNAcentral's name for it is "non-protein coding lnc-PDE4D-6:1". The record is from RNAcentral. Lineage: Eukaryota; Metazoa; Chordata; Mammalia; Primates; Hominidae.
CUUGCUUAAGUUUGAGAGGAUUUUCUUAGAAUAAUAAUAGAGUGCAUGCUACAAAAUCUUUGUAGGCACUAACUCACUCUCCUAAUCUCUUCCAGGGUGGAGAUCUGCCUAGUGUUACUGAUAUUCGAAGACCUCGGCUCUACCUCCUUCAGUGGCUAAAAUCUGAUAAGGCCCUAAUGAUGCUCUUUAAUGAUGGCACCUUUCAGGUGAAUUUCUACCAUGAUCAUACAAAAAUCAUCAUCUGUAGCCAAAAUGAAGAAUACCUUCUCACCUAC